AUGCAGUCGAGCGGACAGAUGGGAGCUUGCUCCCUGAUGUUAGCGGCGGACGGGUGAGUAACACGUGGGUAACCUGCCUGUAAGACUGGGAUAACUCCGGGAAACCGGGGCUAAUACCGGAUGGUUGUUUGAACCGCAUGGUUCAAACAUAAAAGGUGGCUUCGGCUACCACUUACAGAUGGACCCGCGGCGCAUUAGCUAGUUGGUGAGGUAACGGCUCACCAAGGCGACGAUGCGUAGCCGACCUGAGAGGGUGAUCGGCCACACUGGGACUGAGACACGGCCCAGACUCCUACGGGAGGCAGCAGUAGGGAAUCUUCCGCAAUGGACGAAAGUCUGACGGAGCAACGCCGCGUGAGUGAUGAAGGUUUUCGGAUCGUAAAGCUCUGUUGUUAGGGAAGAACAAGUACCGUUCGAAUAGGGCGGUACCUUGACGGUACCUAACCAGAAAGCCACGGCUAACUACGUGCCAGCAGCCGCGGUAAUACGUAGGUGGCAAGCGUUGUCCGGAAUUAUUGGGCGUAAAGGGCUCGCAGGCGGUUUCUUAAGUCUGAUGUGAAAGCCCCCGGCUCAACCGGGGAGGGUCAUUGGAAACUGGGGAACUUGAGUGCAGAAGAGGAGAGUGGAAUUCCACGUGUAGCGGUGAAAUGCGUAGAGAUGUGGAGGAACACCAGUGGCGAAAGCGACUCUCUGGUCUGUAACUGACGCUGAGGAGCGAAAGCGUGGGGAGCGAACAGGAUUAGAUACCCUGGUAGUCCACGCCGUAAACGAUGAGUGCUAAGUGUUAGGGGGUUUCCGCCCCUUAGUGCUGCAGCUAACGCAUUAAGCACUCCGCCUGGGGAGUACGGUCGCAAGACUGAAACUCAAAGGAAUUGACGGGGGCCCGCACAAGCGGUGGAGCAUGUGGUUUAUUCGAAGCACGCGAGACCUUACCAGUCUGACAUCUCUGACAUCUAGAGAUAGACGUCCCUUCGGGGCAGAGUGACAGUGGUGCAUGAUGUCGUCAGCUCGUGUCUGAGAUGUUUGGUAGUCCCGCACGAGCGCAACCCUUGUAUCUU
RNAcentral lists this ribosomal RNA (1058 nucleotides) under Bacillus subtilis. RNAcentral describes it as "bacterial SSU rRNA". It matches the Rfam family "Bacterial small subunit ribosomal RNA", at positions 55 to 1113 of the family's 1533-position model. The record is from RNAcentral. Lineage: Bacteria; Bacillati; Bacillota; Bacilli; Caryophanales; Bacillaceae.